UACGUAGGGUGCAAGCGUUAUCCGGAAUUAUUGGGCGUAAAGAGCUCGUAGGCGGUUUGUCGCGUCUGCUGUGAAAACUGGAGGCUCAACCUCCAGCCUGCAGUGGGUACGGGCAAACUAGAGUGCGGUAGGGGAGAUUGGAAUUCCUGGUGUAGCGGUGGAAUGCGCAGAUAUCAGGAGGAACACCGAUGGUGAAGGCAGAUCUCUGGGCCGUAACUGACGCUGAGGAGCGAAAGCAUGGGGAGCGAACAGG
RNAcentral lists this ribosomal RNA (253 nucleotides) under uncultured bacterium. Its description in RNAcentral is "partial 16S ribosomal RNA". It matches the Rfam family "Bacterial small subunit ribosomal RNA", at positions 524 to 776 of the family's 1533-position model. The record is from RNAcentral.